GCUCCCAUAGCUCAAUUGAAUAGAGCUACAGCCUUCUAAGCUGUGGGUUUCCAGUUUGAAUCUGGAUGGGAGCA
Molecule: transfer RNA, 74 nt
Filed under: Caudoviricetes sp.
Lineage: Duplodnaviria; Heunggongvirae; Uroviricota; Caudoviricetes
Description: tRNA-Arg
Rfam family: tRNA
About the family: Transfer RNA (tRNA) molecules are approximately 80 nucleotides in length. Their secondary structure includes four short double-helical elements and three loops (D, anti-codon, and T loops).
Source: RNAcentral